AAUAGAUACCCGGUAGUCCACGCCGUAAACGAUGAGUGCUAAGUGUUAGAGGGUUUCCGCCCUUUAGUGCUGCAGCUAACGCAUUAAGCACUCCGCCUGGGGAGUACGGUCGCAAGACUGAAACUCAAAGGAAUUGACGGGGGCCCGCACAAGCGGUGGAGCAUGUGGUUUAAUUCGAAGCAACGCGAAGAACCUUACCAGGUCUUGACAUCCUCUGACAACUCUAGAGAUAGAGCGUUCCCCUUCGGGGGACAGAGUGACAGGUGGUGCAUGGUUGUCGUCAGCUCGUGUCGUGAGAUGUUGGGUUAAGUCCCGCAACGAGCGCAACCCUUGAUCUUAGUUGCCAGCAUUUAGUUGGGCACUCUAAGGUGACUGCCGGUGACAAACCGGAGGAAGGUGGGGAUGACGUCAAAUCAUCAUGCCCCUUAUGACCUGGGCUACACACGUGCUACAAUGGAUGGUACAAAGGGCUGCAAGACCGCGAGGUCAAGCCAACCCCAUAAAACCAUUCUCAGUUCGGA
Molecule: ribosomal RNA, 521 nt
Filed under: uncultured bacterium
Lineage: Bacteria
Description: bacterial SSU rRNA
Rfam family: Bacterial small subunit ribosomal RNA
Source: RNAcentral